GGGGAUUUAGCUCAGCGGUAGAGUGCUUACCUAGCAAGCACAAGGUCCUGGGUUCGAUCCCCAGCUCCG
Molecule: transfer RNA, 69 nt
Filed under: Rattus norvegicus (Norway rat)
Lineage: Eukaryota; Metazoa; Chordata; Mammalia; Rodentia; Muridae
Rfam family: tRNA
About the family: Transfer RNA (tRNA) molecules are approximately 80 nucleotides in length. Their secondary structure includes four short double-helical elements and three loops (D, anti-codon, and T loops). Further hydrogen bonds mediate the characteristic L-shaped molecular structure. tRNAs have two regions of fundamental functional importance: the anti-codon, which is responsible for specific mRNA codon recognition, and the 3' end, to which the tRNAs corresponding amino acid is attached (by aminoacyl-tRNA synthetases). tRNAs cope with the degeneracy of the genetic code in two manners: having more than one tRNA (with a specific anti-codon) for a particular amino acid; and 'wobble' base-pairing, i.e. permitting non-standard base-pairing at the 3rd anti-codon position.
Source: Rfam by way of RNAcentral